CCCAGAAGAUGAAUGGAAGGGGAUGGACUUCAUCAAAAUAAACAAGACUUCCCAGUGUACCAGAGGCAUUCGUGGUUUGCACCCUUCGAGGAGACAACAAGUUGGCGGCAACACUGGGGAGUCUAACUGACAAAUUGGAUGGAUCCAGGGUCUUACUGAAACCACGUUCGUGCCUUUAUUCAACACCUCUGUAUUGAGCAGCUACUAUGUCAAGCUCCUGUGUUGGAACCUACACACAAAGAUAAAAGGACCUCAGCCCUGACCUCAAGGCCUGCCCUCAGAUGUGCUGGGGAAAUAGAGACGCACACGGAUAACUAAAACACAAGGCAGAAGACGGCGAGUCCAAUAGGGAGGCAGAGACAAUAAAGUCAGAGGGGAGAGGUUCCUCCCAAGAGAAAAAACAGUGGCGGUUUCUUUCAAUCAGAGACGUCUGAGAUGAGCCUUGCUGACGAUUUGGAGAGCGAGGACUUGGGAGGAAAGGGCAUUUAGCCAGAGGUCCAUGGGAGCCGGCAAGGAAAUGGAAAAUCAUGGGGCACCUCUCGGGCAUUUUGUCUUAAGCAAAGGCAAUGAAAGGGGAAAUAGAGGGAAAUGAGACAGGAAAAAUGAACUAAGGCAGACUGAGGCCUGAAAGCUUGUCUAAGGAGCUGGACUUCCUAUCACAGAUAAUGGAGAGUCAUUAAAGGACUCACCAGAAGCAGGGCAUCUCCAGAGCUGUCUAGGAGCAGAGUGGGAAACACCCGCCUGGCUGAGGAGUGUAGCGUAUACCUGGUAGUCGGGGAGGGUGUGGAGGCAGGGGGACUAGGGGGUGGGAGAGCAUGACUGACUUGUGGGAAAUGAUCAAGGGGACCCCAAACCCGAGGAAGGGAUAAAGCUGGAACCACUGCAAAGAUAUAGCCAUUAAGGGGAUAGAUGAAAGAGGCAGAAAUGAAGAACGAACUGUGAAGAAGUGAUGGAUAAGAUGAUGAGCUGUCUGUGGGAGGUGAACACAUGAUACUGGUCCUUGUGGGAGGCCAGGGCUAGAGACGGAAAUACAGAUGCUGAAGCGAUUAUGGAAGAAGAGUGGGGCUGUGGAGAGCAACACGUGAGGUCACAACCUCGAGGAGUACCCAAACACCUCCCUUUUGGUGGCAAGGGAGAAAAUGAGAAAAGGAAGCAGAGAAGGGAGGUGGGAGAGGAGGGGAGAAAAGCAGGAGGCAACAGCAUCAAAAGCCGCAGAAAGGUCAGGGGCUCUGAGGGCCACGUGGCGACAAGAUUCGGUGAGGAGAGGAGUGGUGAUUUCUGAAAGGAGUUCUAGCAGAGUGGUGGAAGCCAAAGCCAGCUUCUAGCAGGUGGGCAGGGAGACAUGGAGGUGGCGGGAGCACACAUGUGCAGCUGUGUCUGCCCGGAAUGCUCCCCUCGCCCAGCCCUUCUAUCUGCUUAACUUUUUCUUAUCUUUGAGGCCUCGGCUGAGACACCACUUCCUCUAGGCAGCCUUCUCCAAACUCCCUGUCUGGGUUAAGUGCCCUGGGUGCUCCCAUGGCAGCCUGUACGUGUGACCCCACAGGGUGCUUGUGACACUGAGUGUAGAGGUUUGAAGAAUCUUUCUUCUGCACGAGACUCCAAACUACGAGGCAAAGGGUCUCGUCCACGCUGUACCAUGGUGACUAGCACAUCUGAGACACAUAAGACCUAAUAUCUGCAGAAGGGAGGCCGAGCGAGGGAGAGAAGGAAGAAAACCUAAAUACAGCACGGAGCGAGUGUUUUCCAAACGAGGGGAAGGACUGCCUUCUUCAAGAUGCUCUCCUUCCUUACCCCUCCCUCUUUCCCUCGGACCCUGCUCUUUGGCUUCAUCUCCUUGGCCACCAGUUGCGUGGCCUCCACUCCCACUCCAUCCUUCUGGUCUCACCUGGGUUCCUGUCCACUCAGUCAUUGUCAGGCCUCCUAGUGAUAUGUUUAAAAAUACCCUAGAUUUGUCCGUCAACUGCGGGCCCCUUGUCAGUACUUAACUCUGCGUGAACUCCACUCUACCAGUCUUGCUCUAAACUGCCGAGUGUUGCUGGGGAAAAAGAAGUGACAGAGCUCACGCAUUCAAGAGAUCUGAUCUCAGCUGGGCCCAGAAGCAACAUGGUCAUUCUUGGUUUCCCUUCUAAUUGUCCUCCUUAAGGCCCUAUUGGGUCCUGUUCCAAACCUUCUCCAGUCUGCUGGAGGCCCCAUACCCAUUCGUGCCCUUUAUCCCCUGAGACGUAGGCAGGGCCGAUGGAUUUGCCCACCUUCUUCCCCUUCAAUCCUAUCUCCAAGGAGAUGGUGUCUUUCCAUCUUCAAGGCCAGUCCUUUUUCCUUGAAUUAUGGUUCUGUGCAGAUGUUUUUAAUGGAACUUACUGCAAAGGGUGGGGCAUGUCUUAUCCAUCUUUAUAUCACUUAGCACUGAGCUCAGACGCUCUGUUCAAAAAAUGUUAGCUGAAUUUAAAUGAACUCAGAAUCACUGCAAGGUGGCCUCUUGCUACAACACGAGACUUGCCUCCAGGACCAGAUCAGCCCUGAGGAGCAGUCUGACAUGGGCAAGGGAGCGGAGGUCCAGAUGACCGACAAGACAUCGGAUGCAGAGGAUGAGGCAAGUUCUCUGAUGGUUCUGGAAGCAGCUGGUGCAGGAAUUUCCAAGAGGAAGAUGUGGGGCUCCACUCGGAUAUCAGAGAGCUGAGAUACACCAGCAGGGAAUGCAGGCCGAUGACACCCAGUGACAGGUAGGGCCAGUACCCAUCCUCAGGAGGGAAGCUGGUUGUGGGAACCCACUAUACGUGCAGUUCUAGGACUGGAGUCCAGGGGCCUGGGGGAGCUGUGACUUGGGCCUGGAGGCUCAGUCCUGUGACAUCUCUACGACACUGGGUCUGGGUCUGAGGGAAUGAAUGGUGUUCAGCCUCACAAGCUGCAGCUUGAGCACUCGCUGCUCCCAUUCAAACUGAUCCAGGAACACAGAGGACAGCGUCGGGGGUCAGAGCCUCAGUGGGCUUACCCAUGAGCAACCCAGGAGAGCAGGAGAAAUGAGACAGGGGCUUAAAAUGAUCCCCCUCCAGCCCCUCCCUUGAAUGCUUGUCCCUCUCCCUCCAGGGG
Molecule: non-coding RNA, 3087 nt
Organism: Equus caballus (horse)
Lineage: Eukaryota; Metazoa; Chordata; Mammalia; Perissodactyla; Equidae
Source: RefSeq, a predicted model, not a curated record